Molecule: ribosomal RNA, 302 nt
Filed under: uncultured bacterium
Lineage: Bacteria
Description: partial 16S ribosomal RNA
Rfam family: Bacterial small subunit ribosomal RNA
Source: RNAcentral
GCAGUCGCCGCGGUAAUACAGAGGGUGCGAGCGUUAAUCGGAUUUACUGGGCGUAAAGCGUGCGUAGGCGGCUUUUUAAGUCGGAUGUGAAAUCCCUGAGCUUAACUUAGGAAUUGCAUUCGAUACUGGGAAGCUAGAGUAUGGGAGAGGAUGGUAGAAUUCCAGGUGUAGCGGUGAAAUGCGUAGAGAUCUGGAGGAAUACCGAUGGCGAAGGCAGCCAUCUGGCCUAAUACUGACGCUGAGGUACGAAAGCAUGGGGAGCAAACAGGAUUAGAUACCCGUGUAGUCCCUGUCUCUUAUAC